GGGAGAGGGGAUGGUGUCCCAGGUAUUAUCCUUCUAUUAUUUUGCAUAGUGGUUGUUAGGAAAGCUCUUUGUAAACCUUAAAGCACUUCAUAAAUUUGAAUUAUUGCUGCUAUUGGUAUUCAUUUAGACCCAUGUAGCCCUGGGAGUCUGCAACCUGAGCUCCAGAGGAAGGCAAAUGCGCUCAACUCCAUCUCUUAUGGUCCUCAGAGCCUGGGGCCAGUCCAGACCUCUCGUGGGUGCUGCUGGAAAGAAGUCCCCUGCGAGAACCCGCUAACUUAAAUUCAAGGGAUUUUGCCAGAACCAGAUAAAGUAUUUGGAAUGUAGCAAGUUGAAUAUCACUAUAAUUUUCUAGGAGUACUUUGCAUAUUUUGCUGUGUCUUCACCUGAAGGACAUGGGGUAGAUCUAAGCCUUAUUGGUAGGAAGCUCUGGGAGGGCUGCUAUAAUUCUGUCCUUUCUACAGGGGAAACCCAAGCCUCGAGUCACCUGGACACAUGAUGACCAAGCAGUAGAGGCAGAGGUCCUCAGAGCUGGAGCAUUAGCAUCCCACCACCUGCACUGUCUCUAACCUCACCAUUGGCGACACCUACUCUUUCUGGGUCUUUACUGGAAACCAGUGUGGACUCGGUGCCUCAGCUCCUAUCACUACUGACCUCGCCCACAUCUAGAAAGCAGGUAAGGAUUCACAAUCCAGAAGAGCUGAGGCCAAAGAGCUGAAAAGCCAGUGAUGGAGAAGUCGCAGAUCACAUGAUUGUUUCUGAUCCUCCUCUCUUCCCUACUAACCCCAGCAAUCACUUUCAAACCUGAGAAGUUCGCUGACAUUUCUCUGAAGCCCCAGAGUUCACCUCCCCUCUGGCAGACUGUAGCAUGAUCAGUGCUGUCAGCACCCAUUUCUUUGGGUGUCUGGCAUCUCUCAAGAAGCGUAUUUGGAUGGAGGGAGAGAAGACUGGCACAAAACUGAGCAAGUGCAGAGAUAACUUUUCACAUUGUUUCUGAGAGGAGCUUCGAUGCAUUUGUGGCAGGUAUAGGU
Molecule: long non-coding RNA, 1028 nt
Filed under: Vombatus ursinus (common wombat)
Lineage: Eukaryota; Metazoa; Chordata; Mammalia; Diprotodontia; Vombatidae
Description: lncRNA (ENSVURG00010014466.1)
Source: RNAcentral